GAACCUUCAACUCUCAAAGUA
This 21-nucleotide unclassified non-coding RNA is filed under the name Dictyostelium discoideum. Lineage: Eukaryota; Evosea; Eumycetozoa; Dictyosteliales; Dictyosteliaceae. The record is from RNAcentral.